GACGAACGCUGGCGGCGUGCUUAACACAUGCAAGUCGAACGGAGAGGCCCUGCUUUUGUGGGGUGCUCGAGUGGCGAACGGGUGAGUAACACGUGAGUAACCUGCCCUUGACUUUGGGAUAACUUCAGGAAACUGGGGCUAAUACCGGAUAGGAGCUCCUGCUGCAUGGUGGGGGUUGGAAAGUUUCGGCGGUUGGGGAUGGACUCGCGGCUUAUCCGCUUGUUGGUGGGGUAGUGGCUUACCAAGGCUUUGACGGGUAGCCGGCCUGAGAGGGUGACCGGCCACAUUGGGACUGAGAUACGGCCCAGACUCCUACGGGAGGCAGCAGUGGGGAAUAUUGCACAGUGGGCGGAAGCCUGAUGCAGCAACGCCGCGUGCGGGAUGACGGCCUUCGGGUUGUAAACCGCUUUCGCCUGUGACGAAGCGUGAGUGACGGUAAUGGGUAAAGAAGCACCGGCUAACUACGUG
Molecule: ribosomal RNA, 468 nt
Filed under: uncultured bacterium
Lineage: Bacteria
Description: partial 16S ribosomal RNA
Rfam family: Bacterial small subunit ribosomal RNA
Source: RNAcentral